Mastomys coucha (southern multimammate mouse) is the source of this 201-nucleotide long non-coding RNA. RefSeq lists it as uncharacterized. The transcript has 2 exons. The record is from RefSeq and is a predicted model, not a curated record. NCBI's taxonomy places the organism in Eukaryota, Metazoa, Chordata, Mammalia, Rodentia, Muridae.
UCUUGGCUCAAGAAACGUUUCGAAGCAGUAAGAAGCAUCGGUUCUCUGUGUACUGUCCCUGUUUAAACACCUCCAAGGAGAAAAACAACCUUUCUCGACCAUUGGAAUGCAAGACAACAAUAGAUGCUGAAGAAAAAGACUUGACUACUGGAAACCUCCUGUAGGUACCCAGAAUUUUUGAAUAAACAUUAUCACAAAGCC